Molecule: ribosomal RNA, 422 nt
Filed under: uncultured bacterium
Lineage: Bacteria
Description: bacterial SSU rRNA
Rfam family: Bacterial small subunit ribosomal RNA
Source: RNAcentral
UGAGGAAUAUUGGUCAAUGGGGGAAACCCUGAACCAGCGACGCCGCGUGUGGGAUGAAGGGGCUUUGCCUCGUAAACCACUGUCGGAUGGGAAGAAAAGACCCUUAGGGGGUCCGGGACUGUACCAUCAAAGGAAGGAUCGGCUAACUACGUGCCAGCAGCCGCGGUAAUACGUAGGAUCCAAGCGUUGUCCGGAAUUACUGGGUGUAAAGGGUGCGCAGGCGGAUUUGUGCGUCAGAGGUUAAAUCCCACCGCUUAACGGUGGAGGUGCCUUUGAUACUGAAAGCCUUGAGUGCGGGAGAGGGUAAUGGAAUAUCUGGUGUAGCAGUGAAAUGCGUAGAUAUCAGAUAGAACACCAAUGGCGAAGGCAGUUACCUGGUCCGUCACUGACGCUAAGGCACGAAAGUGUGGGGAGCAAACAGG